This 253-nucleotide ribosomal RNA is filed under the name uncultured bacterium. RNAcentral describes it as "partial 16S ribosomal RNA". It matches the Rfam family "Bacterial small subunit ribosomal RNA", at positions 524 to 776 of the family's 1533-position model. The record is from RNAcentral.
UACGGGGGGGGCAAGCGUUGUUCGGAAUUACUGGGCGUAAAGGGCUCGUAGGUGGCCAAUUAAGUCAGACGUGAAAUCCCCAGGCUCAACCUGGGAACUGCGUCUGAUACUGGUUGGCUUGAAUUCGGGAGAGGGAUGCAGAAUUCCAGGUGUAGCGGUGAAAUGCGUAGAUAUCUGGAGGAAUACCGGUGGCGAAGGCGGCAUCCUGGACCGAGAUUGACACUGAGGAGCGAAAGCCAGGGGAGCAAACGGG